UACAGAGGUCUCAAGCGUUGUUCGGAUUCAUUGGGCGUAAAGGGUGCGUAGGUGGCGCCGUUAGUCAGGUGUGAAAUCUCGGGGCUUAACUCCGAAACUGCAUUUGAUACUGCGGUGCUUGAGGACUGGAGAGGAGACUGGAAUUCAUGGUGUAGCAGUGAAAUGCGUAGAGAUCAUGAGGAAGACCAGUGGCGAAGGCGGGUCUCUGGACAGUUCCUGACACUGAGGCACGAAGGCCAGGGGAGCAAACGGG
RNAcentral lists this ribosomal RNA (253 nucleotides) under uncultured bacterium. RNAcentral's name for it is "partial 16S ribosomal RNA". It matches the Rfam family "Bacterial small subunit ribosomal RNA", at positions 524 to 776 of the family's 1533-position model. The record is from RNAcentral.